CAGACAGUCACACACUCAGUUACAGGCAGACAGUCACACACAGUCACAGGCAGACAGUCACACAUACACAUUUCCUCUGUGCGGACAGUUUAUCAGCUGUUUGCUUGUGUGAGCUGUACGGCACCCUAACUACCAUGGGACACUGUGCGGCCACAGCUCACACAGCCCCCUCCAGCCAGGGCCGGUGCAAGGAUUUUUGCCGCCCUAGGCAAAAGUAAAGUUUGCCG
Non-coding RNA from Pelobates cultripes (western spadefoot toad), 227 nucleotides. The record is from the annotation of a GenBank genome assembly. Lineage: Eukaryota; Metazoa; Chordata; Amphibia; Anura; Pelobatidae.